AUACGUAGGGGGCAAGCGUUAAUCGGAAUUACUGGGCGUAAAGGGCGCGUAGGCGGUUUAGCAAGUCAGAAGUGAAAUUCCCGGGCUUAACCUGGGCGCUGCUUCUGAAACUGCUUUACUUGAGUGCUGGAGAGGAUAGUGGAAUUCCUAGUGUAGCGGUAAAAUGCGCAGAUAUUAGGAGGAACACCGGUGGCGAAGACGGAUUUCUGGACACUAACAGUGGCGGAGAUGCGAAAACGUGGGGAGAAAAAAGAAUAAUAGACCCUGUUGUUCCACGCCGUAAACGAUGAAUACUAGGUGUAGGGGGUAUCGACUCCCUCUGUGCCGCAGUUAACACAAUAAGUUUUCCGCCUGGGGAGUACGGCCGCAAGGUCGAAACUCAAAUGAAUUGGCGGGG
RNAcentral lists this ribosomal RNA (397 nucleotides) under uncultured bacterium. Its description in RNAcentral is "partial 16S ribosomal RNA". It matches the Rfam family "Bacterial small subunit ribosomal RNA", at positions 523 to 918 of the family's 1533-position model. The record is from RNAcentral.